This is a non-coding RNA of Triticum aestivum (bread wheat), 115 nucleotides long. Lineage: Eukaryota; Viridiplantae; Streptophyta; Magnoliopsida; Poales; Poaceae. The record is from Rfam.
ACGGUACUCCCUUUGUCCCAAAUUACUCGUCGCUGAAAUAGAUGUAUCUAAAACUAAAAUACAUCUAGAUACAUCCAUACGUAUGACAAGUAAUUCGGAACGAAGGGAGUACAAC